This 467-nucleotide ribosomal RNA is filed under the name uncultured bacterium. Its description in RNAcentral is "partial 16S ribosomal RNA". It matches the Rfam family "Bacterial small subunit ribosomal RNA", at positions 28 to 507 of the family's 1533-position model. The record is from RNAcentral.
GAUGAACGCUGGCGGCGUGCUUAAUACAUGCAAGUCGAACGAUGAUGCCCAGCUCGCUGGGCGGUUUAGUGGCGAACGGGUGAGUAACUCGCGAGUAACCUGCCCUUCUAUCAGGGUUAAGUCAGGGCAACUGGCUCUAACAAAGGAUACGAAAUACUGUCGCCCGCCAUGGUGGUGGAAAGCUGUUGUGGUUUUGGAUGGACUGGCGGCCUAUCAGCUUGUUUGUGGGGUAUUGGACUACCAAGGCGACGCCGGGUAGCCGGCCUGGGAGGGUGGCCGGGCACCCGGGGACUGAGAGACGCCGCAGUCGCCAACGGGAGGCAGCAGGGGGGAGGAUUGCGCAACGGGCGCGAGCCUGAGGCAGCGGCGCCGCGUUCGUGAUGACGGCCUUCUGGGUGUAAACCUCUGUCUGUGUGGAAGAAGCGAUAGUGACGGUACCUGCAGAAAAAGCGCCGGCUAACUACGUG